Molecule: non-coding RNA, 29 nt
Filed under: Rattus norvegicus (Norway rat)
Lineage: Eukaryota; Metazoa; Chordata; Mammalia; Rodentia; Muridae
Source: RNAcentral
UGUUGGACAGCAAAGAGCUGUAUGGGGGA